Molecule: ribosomal RNA, 102 nt
Organism: Capra hircus (goat)
Lineage: Eukaryota; Metazoa; Chordata; Mammalia; Artiodactyla; Bovidae
Source: Ensembl
GUUUAUGGCCACACCAUUCUCAAUGCAUGUGAUCUCAGAAGCUAAGCAGGGUUGGCCCUGGCAAGUAUUUGAAUGGGAGACUAUUCUGGUGUAUUAUUAUCA